AAUAUUGGACAAUGGGGGCAACCCUGAUCCAGCCAUGCCGCGUGUGUGAAGAAGGUCUUCGGAUUGUAAAGCACUUUAAUUUGGGCGGAAGGGCUUCAGGUUAAUACCCUGAAGUAUUGACGUUACCAACAGAAUAAGCACCGGCUAACCCUGUGCCAGCAGCCGCGGUAAUACAGAGGGUCCAAGCGUUAAUCGGAAUUACUGGGCGUAAAGCGCGCGUAGGUGGUUCAGUAAGAUGGGUGUGAAAUCUCCGGGCUUAACCUGGGAACUGCUUUCAUAACUGCUGAGCUAGAGUACGGUAGAGGGUAGUGGAAUUUCCUGUGUAGCGGUGAAAUGGGUAGAUAUAGGAAGGAACACCAGUGGCGAAGGCGACUACCUGGACUGAUACUGACACUGAGGUGCGAAAGCGUGGGGAGCAAAC
This 421-nucleotide ribosomal RNA is filed under the name uncultured bacterium. RNAcentral describes it as "partial 16S ribosomal RNA". It matches the Rfam family "Bacterial small subunit ribosomal RNA", at positions 360 to 773 of the family's 1533-position model. The record is from RNAcentral.